Molecule: non-coding RNA, 134 nt
Organism: Triticum aestivum (bread wheat)
Lineage: Eukaryota; Viridiplantae; Streptophyta; Magnoliopsida; Poales; Poaceae
Source: Rfam
AAAGUACUCCCUCCGUCCCAAAAUUCUUGUCUUAAUUUGUCUAGAUACUGAUGUAUCAAGUCACAUUUUAGUAUUAGAUACAUCCGUAUAUAGCCAAAUCUAAGACAAGAAAUUUGGGACAGAGGGAGUAGUUG